RNAcentral lists this ribosomal RNA (1176 nucleotides) under Triticum aestivum (bread wheat). Its description in RNAcentral is "partial small subunit ribosomal RNA". The record is from RNAcentral. Lineage: Eukaryota; Viridiplantae; Streptophyta; Magnoliopsida; Poales; Poaceae.
AUGCACAGCCGCCGCCGCGUCCACUCGCCGGCGUCCGGGCCGCUGGACGACGGCGACCUGCUCUCCGAGAUCCUGCUCCGCCUCUCCCCGCAGCUCUCCUCCCUCCCGCGUGCGUCCCUCGUCUGCAAGCACUGGCGCAGCAUCGUCUCUGACCCCGGCUUCUUCCGCCGCUUCCGCCUCCGCCACCGCCGCAACCCUCAUCUCCUCGGUUUCUCCGACAAGUACGAUGAUCUGUCCUUCCUGCCAACUCUGGAUGCCCCCAAUUGCGUCCCUCCCGGGCGCUUCUCCUUGCCGUUCGACGACGUUGAUGAUUAACGCCUUUCCCUUGGGUGCCGCCAUGGCCUCCUGCUCUUCUGGCCUAUGAAGCAUUUCCAGGUCGUGGUCUGGGACCCCGUCACCGGAGACCAGCACCGCAUUGCCGUUCCCCCGGGGUUCGACGGGACACACGGGGCGGUGCUUUGCGCCACCAGAGACAAACACUUCCAGGUGGUCUUGGUGGUGAGACAUUCGGAUGACGAGCAACAUACACGUGCGGUUGCCUGUGUUUACUCGUCAAAGACCGGCUUAUGGGGAGAUCGUAUCUCGACACUGCUUCCAUACCAACCUGAUGUGAGCGGUUCUCCCAACACCAUGCUUUAUGAGCUUGAUGCUGUGCUGGUUGGAGACUCACUUCACUGGAUGCUUUCUGGGAAUUUUGGUGGAAUUCUCAAGUUUGAUUUGGAGAAGCAGAGCCUAGCUGUGAUACGAGUGCCGCUAGUGGAUAUGUAUGGCCAGGGCAACUACUUCCAGGUUAUGAGGGCCGAGGGCGGCGGGCUGGGUUUCCUCUUCAUGUCAGUGUUAGACUACGCUACUCAGUUAUGGAAGAGGAAGACAGAUUGUGAUGGUGUUGCUUCAUGGGAGCUUGGAAGAACUAUUCAACUGGACAAGCUACUUUCUCUGAAGUCGGAGGAUAAAAACCCCAUAGCCCUGUCGAUACUAGGGUUUGCUGAGAAGAAUAAUGCCGUGUUCAUUUGGACAGUUAAUGGCAUCUUCAUGAUCCACCUUGACUCAUUGAAUUCAAGAAGCUUGCCGAAAACCGCAAGAUGUUCUCACUAUCAUCCAUUCGAAAGUGUCUACACUGCAGGAACACGUGUUGACGUUGGACACGGUGGGGCUGAGCUUUUGGUUGAUAUGUAA